UUUAUGAACUUCAUCACGUACCCGUCGCCAUCAGGAAUGUUGCUCCUACAGCAGCAACAACAGGUAACCAUUUAUAAAUUAAAUGGACAGUCCAGCUAUAAAGUGGAUGGCACAAACAAGUUGGCCGCUUACCUAUAACUUUCUGCAACAACAAAUGAUUUUCAUCGUGACCCAACAUGUAAACAUCAGUCACUUGCCGCGGCAUCAGCUUCGGGCACCUUCUUCUUGAAGAUUUCUUCUUUGCCCCUGAAGAAGCAUCUGCCAGCAGCCUCAGCGUGCCUACAAUUUGCAUCAUCAUGCAUGCAAAAGUGUGUCAAUUUCAAUAUAGUAGGCUAGCUUUAUAAGGAAGAAAGGAACACUCCAUGCAUCCAUCUGAUGCAAAUAUUUGCACUAAAACUAUGAUGAACCUGCA
This 412-nucleotide long non-coding RNA is filed under the name Triticum aestivum (bread wheat). Its description in RNAcentral is "long non-coding RNA (TAES_LNC025196)". The record is from RNAcentral. Lineage: Eukaryota; Viridiplantae; Streptophyta; Magnoliopsida; Poales; Poaceae.